This 751-nucleotide ribosomal RNA is filed under the name uncultured Natronorubrum sp. RNAcentral describes it as "bacterial SSU rRNA". It matches the Rfam family "Archaeal small subunit ribosomal RNA", at positions 120 to 869 of the family's 1478-position model. Lineage: Archaea; Methanobacteriati; Methanobacteriota; Halobacteria; Halobacteriales; Natrialbaceae. The record is from RNAcentral.
ACGAGCAUACUCUCGGGAAACUGAGGCUAAUACUCGAUACCGUUCCGCUGCUGGAACUGCACGGAAUCGGAAACGCUCCGGCGCCAGAGGCUGUGGCUGCGGCCGAUUAGGUAGACGGUGGGGUAACGGCCCACCGUGCCAGUAAUCGGUACGGGUUGUGAGAGCAAGAGCCCGGAGACGGUACCUGAGACAAGAUACCGGGCCCUACGGGGCGCAGCAGGCGCGAAACCUUUACACUGCACGCCAGUGCGAUAAGGGGAUCCCCAGUGCGAGGGCAUAUAGUCCUCGCUUUUCACCACCGUAGGGAGGUGGUGGAACAAGAGCUGGGCAAGACCGGUGCCAGCCGCCGCGGUAAUACCGGCAGCUCAAGUGAUGGCCGCGAUUAUUGGGCCUAAAGCGUCCGUAGCCCGCCAGGUAAGUUUAUCGGGAAAUCUACACGCUCAACGUGUAGGCGGCCGGUGAAACCUGCCUGGCUUGGGACUGGACGGCUCGAGGGGUACGACCGGGGUAGGAGUGAAAUCCUAUAAUCCUGGUCGGACCACCGGUGGCGAAAGCGCCUCGAGAGGACAGAUCCGACGGUGAGGGACGAAAGCCAAGGUCACGAACCGGAUUAGAUACCCGGGUAGUCUUGGCCGUAAACGAUGCCCGUUAGGUGUGGCGCAGGCUACGAGCCUGCGCUGUGCCGCAGUGAAGACGAUAAACGGGCCGCCUGGGAAGUACGUCCGCAAGGAUGAAACUUAAAGGAAUUGGC